CUUACCUCUCUCAGAACAGCAUGGCGCGACGCACGCGGAGCAGCAGGGCCUGGCACUUUGUCCUGAGCGGGGUGCGGCGCGAGGCGGACACCCGGGCGGUCGCCUUGGCCACCGGCGCGCGUGGCUGGGGCUACGACUCCGACGGGCAGCACAGUGACUCGGAUUCAGAGCCGGAGUUUUCUUCCCUCUCGCCCUCUAUCCCGAGCGCCAUCCCUGUGACCGGAGAGUCCUACUGCAACUGCGAGAACCAGAGCGAAGCGCCCUACUGCUCCAGCCUGCACGCCCUCCACCGCAUCAAGGACUGCCAGUGCGGCGAGGAGGACGAGUAUUUCGACUGGGUGUGGGACGACCUGAAUAAGUCGACGGCCACCCUGCUGACCUGCGACAACCGCAAGGUGAACUUCCACAUGGAGUACAGCUGCGGCACCGCCGCCAUCCGGGGGAACAAAGAGCUGGCAGACGGGCAGCACUUCUGGGAGAUCAAGAUGACCUCCCCGGUCUACGGCACAGACAUGAUGGUGGGAAUUGGGACGUCGGAUGUGAAUCUGGACAAGUACCGCCACACCUUCUGCAGCCUGCUGGGCAAGGACGAGGACAGCUGGGGACUCUCCUACACAGGACUACUGCAUCACAAGGGAGACAAAACAAACUUCUCUUCGAGGUUUGGCCAAGGCUCCAUCAUCGGGGUGCAUUUGGACACGUGGCAUGGGACACUCACGUUCUUCAAAAACCGCAAGUGCAUCGGGAUUGCAGCCACGAAGCUGCAGAACAAGAAGUUUUACCCCAUGGUGUGCUCGACGGCGGCCAAGAGCAGCAUGAAGGUGAUCCGUUCCUGCGCCAGCUGCACGUCCCUCCAGUAUCUCUGCUGUUACCGCCUGCGCCAGCUCCUGCCCGACUACGUGGACACGCUGGAGGUGCUGCCGUUGCCACCGGGACUCAAGCAAGUGCUACACAACAAACUGGGGUGGGUCUUGAGCAUGAACUAUAGCACGUCGAAGCCUUCCUCCUCCUCCUCAUCGGGAAGCGACUCAGAUAGCUCCUGCGGCUCAGACGCAGAGGCCUGCCAAAGGAAGAGGUGCAGGAGGACAUAAUGUCUCUGCAGAUGAACUGCUGUGAGGGAGUCGGGUGGGGUUUUGUUCCGCUGUCGGCGAGGGCUGGCCAGGCCUGAUGCACCUCUUUCUUCACGGGGACAUCCAUUUCUACUCGUUUGGAAAGAUUUCUCUUAUGCUGUUGGAAAUCUCUAGCCUAAACAUCCAUCACAUGCAUUGAAAGGACCUGUAGACUCCAAGAGGUCCCAGCUCUGUCAAACUGCAGCCAAAUAUCUGAGCUUCAUCUCCUGACUUGCUAUCAAACUUGCCGUUGGCUCUUCCUGAAGGAUCCCUCUUCUCUGCAGACUGUCAGCAGAGACAAGAUUUAAGGUGGCCUCCCGGUUUCAAAGCAGACUAGACUCCAGUCAGAUAACGGACUUGAUUCAUCAAAAGACAAAAUCAAAGACCAGCCCCCUCCUCCUAACUGUUGUGUGUUGGUUUGGUGUCUGCCAUGAACUCGUCACACCGUGGGGCACGAUGGUGCAGCAGCACGUAGGGAAACGGGCUCCUAGAGGUGUCUCUGCGUCGGAGUUGUGAAAGAGCAGUUACUUACAGGAGUUGGGCUGUUGGUGAUCUUUCUCGGGUCCCCGAUGACUUUAAUUGCUUUGCAUGUUGGCUCCUGCUACUUCUCCUGUAUCAAAGACUGUAUUAAACUGUAAUAAUGAAGGUAGAAGCUGUCUUUUGUUCCUCUCAGGGCCCUUGAAGGCAGGAAUCUGAAGGUGCUUGUCAAAACCAGCCAUGCUAGCACAGCUAAGA
Molecule: RNA transcript, 1844 nt
Organism: Gymnogyps californianus (California condor)
Lineage: Eukaryota; Metazoa; Chordata; Aves; Accipitriformes; Cathartidae
Gene name: SPRY domain-containing SOCS box protein 3-like
Exons: 7
Source: RefSeq, a predicted model, not a curated record